Molecule: long non-coding RNA, 1470 nt
Organism: Motacilla alba alba
Lineage: Eukaryota; Metazoa; Chordata; Aves; Passeriformes; Motacillidae
Exons: 3
Source: RefSeq, a predicted model, not a curated record
CAUUCUUCAGAGCAAGUGGCAGCACAUCCCCAGCUCUGAAGCUCCUGUGGUGCCUAUAACUCUCCCAGGGAUUUGUGCAGCCUCAUCACCUGCACUCCUGAGCAGGCUUAGGGAUCUGCACGACAGGAUUUGGCACGAGCAGGAUGAAGCCUUCUGGCAGGUUAUUUCUUGUGAGGGGACCUUGUUUCCUGACACUAGCCACACGUCACUCACGCCCAUACCACUCCUCUCCCUGUUCCUCCUGUGAUGUCUGUAAGUAGCAGUUAGUUAAAUGGCAAAUAAAUCUGAUUCCUCUUGGAUGAAAAAUCGAUUCAGGUGUCCCUGCGGGCUGGGAAGAGCCCUUUGGUCAUGAGGACGGGGGCAGAGGGACCCCGUGUGUGUGGCAAGAGAACAACCACAAAUACAUUCUUGGACAAAAGCCCUAGGGCCUGAGAACAGCUUGGUUGGCAGCAUCAACAGCCCAGCAUUGGGUAGCAUUGUACAGGUAAAUUACCUCCUUGCAGCACAGGCAGUUUGAAAGAGGUGAGUCUUUUAGGAACAGUUGUGUCUUUACUCUCUGUUGUUUAACUCAUUUCACCUGGCCUAGGUCCUGUUUCACUAGAGGCUUAGAGAAAUGAGACUAAAUGAGUGGUGAAAGAGCUCUUUUUUAUCUCCUGUCGCUGUUUAGUAGUGAAGUAGAAAAUGCAGAGUUAGGAGUGAGACAAUGUGAGAAAAGACAGGUAGGUAUUUUGCAGCAGAAAUAAACAUGGAUUUCCUCCUAGCAUUUUCCCAGGCUUUGGAACUAUUCCCAGGUUGGGGUAAGUCUUAUUGUUCCUCAUAAAAUGCAGAAGAAGAGAACAUUUUGCAAAGUCUGACAUCAAGUAUAUUAAACACUAAAGGAAGAACCAAGUUUGCACAGUUAAAAACUCAGCAGGAUUUUUUUCUGGUUUGUCCUACAACAGUGUUUAACUGCUGCUCUUGGGCUCUGCUUUGUGUGCAAGCCAGACCUGGGGAAAGGGACUUUUGGCUGCACAGUGGACAGUUCGCAGGUUCAGAACUGGGGUUUCCUUGCUUGUGUUGAAUUUAAUGUCUGUCUGGCUUGUGUGGCAGAGCACAGCAAUUCUGCAUCCCUGCCUCUGUUCUGCAGCCUCCAAGAGCUGUUCUACACAAUGGAGAAGGGAGGAAGGGGGAAAAAAAAGGGCCAUCUGUAGCUGCAGAUGGGGAUUUGUGGACGGGGUACAAGUUGCAGUCACUGAGUAAGCAGAGAUGCCCAAAAUAUGUCACCUAAAUUGACCAAUCAGGCUGGGAAAGGGAGCAUUAGCCUGUUUGGAUGCGUGGUCGGAGAGACCCACCCCAGCAACUGUGCAGCACACGCAGGCAGCCAGGCACUCCAUCAGCUUCCCGCUGCGCUCCGCAGCCGGAGAGACGAGCUGCUUUUACCUGGCAGCUUGGCUCAGGCCUCCUCCCACGAGCAGGUGUCAUUGGGCUUGU